GAAGACUUAACGUGCUCAACUGGAAACAGGUGCUCAGCAGUUAGGUGUAGUAACACACGAGGAUAUGUCCGUGUGUUCAUAAUGACUGGCCCUUGACACCUCCAUGGCUUACUCUCCGUCCUCUUUCUUUCGUCUUUUUUUCUCUACUGUGCCUAUAGUGAAGUGGCAAUGUAUUCACUGUCUUAGUUUGCAGUGCUCAGGAACGGGAUGUUCGUUUGAAGGUCUUGUCUGUUACGGAAGCUCAGCUAGGUUUACCUCUUUAAUAGAUGCAGUGGCUCAGCUAACACUACAUUCUAGUUCUCCAGACUCUGGUUAAAGCCUUUGUCUCCUC
Molecule: long non-coding RNA, 331 nt
Filed under: Androctonus crassicauda
Lineage: Eukaryota; Metazoa; Arthropoda; Arachnida; Scorpiones; Buthidae
Source: RNAcentral